Molecule: ribosomal RNA, 499 nt
Filed under: uncultured bacterium
Lineage: Bacteria
Description: bacterial SSU rRNA
Rfam family: Bacterial small subunit ribosomal RNA
Source: RNAcentral
GACGAACGCUGGCGGCGUGGAUAAGACAUGCAAGUCGAGCGGGACAAUCAGGGUAGCAAUGUUCUGGUUGUUCAGCGGCGCAAGGGUGCGUAACACGUGGGUAAUUUGCCAUGAAGUCUGGAAUAACUUGCUGAAAGGCGAGCUAAUGCCGGAUGUGACUUCCGAGGGGCAUCUCUUGGAAUUCAAAGCUGGAACCGUAAGGUCUGGCGCUUCUUGAUAAGCCCGCGGUCUAUCAGCUAGUUGGUGAGGUAACGGCUCACCAAGGCUAAGACGGAUAGCUGGUCUGAGAGGACGACCAGCCACACUGGAACUGAGACACGGUCCAGACACCUACGGGUGGCAGCAGUCGAGAAUUUUUCACAAUGGGCGAAAGCCUGAUGGAGCGACGCCGCGUGGGGGAUGAAUGGCUUCGGCCCGUAAACCCCCUGUCAUUUGCGAACAAACCUUACCGGUUAAUACCCGGUGAGCUGAUUGUAGCGGAAGAGGAAGGGACGGCUAA